This 2333-nucleotide long non-coding RNA is filed under the name Homo sapiens (human). RNAcentral describes it as "non-protein coding LINC01693:11". The record is from RNAcentral. Lineage: Eukaryota; Metazoa; Chordata; Mammalia; Primates; Hominidae.
AGUGAUGUUUGAGCCCCAGCAUAGAUCAGCAUGCCAGGAAGCAGCCCACCGGACCCACCCCUGAUCAUGGCACUGGACAUUGUUUUCCGUGCUUUUCUCAGGCUGGUUUCUGCCUGUCCCAACCCUGGCCAUGGCUGACAAGGGGCCCAGGGACACUGGAGCAGAGAGACCUGCUGGUCCUUGGGGUUUCUUGCAAGCUGCCUCUAAAGGGAAAUAUCCCAGGAGUGAUGAAAACUUGAAGAUCGAGGAUUGGAUAUAAGCUCAGAGGUGAAGGAGGGAAAUUCCUCGGGUCAACUUUAGCGGACUGAUCCACGGGGUCUGCCAAGAGACAGGAGCUCGAGGGUUAAACCCAAGCACUCGGGAGUCAGAUGUAUGAAUCUGAAUCUCAGCCUCUCGGCUUGCUGUGUAAUCUCAGAGUGAAUCAUCUGUGAACACUUCCUGUGAACGUGUGACUAUGAUUAUGGAACACUCUGUUGCAUCAAGAUGGCCAGAGAUUGUCUCAGAGUCCAGGCAGUGGGAGGAGGGGGGAUUUGUUUCCUGGCUGGGUGGUCGUAGGGCAUCAAGGGAUGAGCAGCUUUGGUUGUCUGGGAUUUCAGCAGCUUGAGGGGAGCUGUAGGGCCCCAGAGCUGUCGCUGUGGCUGUGGUGUCAGAAAUGUAAGCAAGGUGCCUCCAUGGAGGUUAGCGAGGGUGCCCCUCUGAAUGCCGGGUGGAAUGCAACCUUUCGCAUGGAGGAGGCCCUCAGCAGCUGACCUCUGUCUUCCCUGUGUAGAGGGAGGGAGGCUGAGGCUGGGGCUGAGCGAGGGGUAAAGUAAGCCACGUGUCUCAUCAGCUAGCCUGCAGCAAGCACAGCCCUCUGGGAGGGCUGGUUCUAUCCUCCUCCUUGGUGUGAAAUCCAUCAAUCUAAUAGGGAUCCUUAUUUUCCCAGCCACCAAGUCACAAUGAGCAAUAAUCUCUUCUUGUUGGUGCAUAUAAAUUUGCUUCAUUCUUUUUUAAACAGCUGCCUUGUGUCGCCUUUUGCAUUCAGCCCAAGUCCAGCCUAGGAGGACAGCCUUAUCUUAAGUCACUGAGGGAACUAGCUUGCCUAACUGAAAGGGCUUUGCCCUGGAAGGAGAAGGGUCUUCUGGAAACAUAAAACGUUUCAGGGGAGGGCAGUCCUGAAUGAGAUGGCUCUAGGGGGUGGGGGACACUGGACCGCCUGAAGGUACUGGGCAUCUGGCCUGGGCUUUUGAGGAAAUGCAAAGCCAUGCUAUAGAUGAUGCUGAGCAAAGGCGGGAGAGAGACGUGGGGGUCCUACCGGGGUCACUUGAAAACCCCUUCUCCGGCCUCCCCCACGCUAACCCAUCUCUCCUGGCACGCAAGUCUGGAAAGGCCACUGGCCCUAACCAUGCUGGCUCUGCGUCCACCUUCCUCUUCAAUUCAAAUGGCUUGGAUAAAGCCAUGGGUUAUGACGCUUAACCCAUCACUGUGGGAAACUGGAUGACUUGGGGAACAAAGCCAACCUUUUGCUGUCUUGCGGAGGCAGGCAGUGGAGGGUUAUUGCCAAAAGCCUGAGCUCCGGAGCUGUGAUCUCUGAGUCUCAGUUUCCCCGUGUAAAAUGUGAUUCGAAUGAUACCUACUUCACAGGGGUAUUGUAGGGAUUGAAGGAAAUAAUGGGGAGAAGGCAUUUAUCCAAUGCCCGGCAUAGACUCUCGCAGUAACUCCCAGUUGCUCAGGCUAGUCGGGGAGGGUGGGACUGCGGCUCUAGCAGAGCCAUGGCGCCACCUUGCGGUUCUGUCGGCCAGGACAGUCGGUUAAUCAGAUUCAAAUCCAGUGACCCUUUUUCAAGCGCCUGUGAGUAGGCCUGUGCUGGGUUGAACUCAUUAUUAUUUAAACAUGUAAACUGUGUAAUGGUAAGUACAGUGCUAGUGUCUAACAGAACAUCUUGGAAAGAUCUUACAGUGCGAUGCUGGAGAAACAUCGUUUGGAAGGAACCCGCUCUCCACGCCCCCAUCAAAGGGACCCCCUUCUAAGCUACCAUGACUGCUCAAAUACCCCAGACGUUCCCAGCUUCAGCGACUAACUGGAAACAAGGUUUUGUUAGCUUAAGAGCAAGGAGAGGGGAUUCAUGAUCAGAUUUAAAAUGUCUCCUCAGUUUCCAAGUCCUGCCAUAUUGCUUCUCCCAGUUUCACUCAAACCCCCGCUCCCCUCCCCAGCCCCCUAGCCCACCACUGGUCUGCUGUCUUUCCUCUCUCCGGACCCGCUCAGGUCUCCCAUUCCCUUUGCUUUUCCCCUCCACCCCCACCUCCACUGUAACCUGCUAUGGUUAGUCUCCUCCUCUUCCUGCUGCACCCCUC